UUGGGUCCUCUCCUGCCUGCCACACAGCCGAACCAUGACACAGCAUUUUGGUCGGUCGGUCAGCGAGGCCAACAUCGUUCUUUUUUUAACAUGGACUUCAUAAAUGCCUGAUUUGUAGGAGCACGUGAGAAUGGGCCAGCAAACGAUGACAUCUCGUAGCCCUUCUGCUCAAACAGCCAUCAAAUUGGCAGAACUGGGUACAAGCAGCACCACAACAGAAAGACUGUGAAAGGGAUGCUGGCCAAACUUCAGUCUCUGAAGGUCUGUCCACGAACCCUACAUUUGAAGAUUGGACUGAAGAUGCACCAUAUUGUCAAAGUGGAGCGCACCCUCCUCAUCACCACAACUCUGGACUAUGGACACCGACGAUGAGGAAGAUUUUUUGUAUUUUGACGACUCCCCCAACAUCGAUGAGGUAGACUGGGCAUGGCCACCCUUCCAAGUCCCUGAGAAAUUACCCAAAUCACUAUGGGUUAAAGAUGAGGACUUACACUAUGUAUCCACAAAAUCGGUUUCAGUA
Long non-coding RNA from Maylandia zebra (zebra mbuna), 520 nucleotides. RefSeq lists it as uncharacterized. Lineage: Eukaryota; Metazoa; Chordata; Actinopteri; Cichliformes; Cichlidae. The record is from RefSeq and is a predicted model, not a curated record.